AUUGCCUCAGUAACGGCGAGUGAAGCGGCAACAGCUCAAAUUUGAAAUCUGGCCCUAGGCCCGAGUUGUAAUUUGCAGAGGAUGCUUUUGGUGAGGUGCCUUCCGAGUUCCCUGGAACGGGACGCCAUAGAGGGUGAGAGCCCCGUCUGGUCGGACACCGAGCCUCUGUAAAGCUCCUUCGACGAGUCGAGUAGUUUGGGAAUGCUGCUCUAAAUGGGAGGUAUAUGUCUUCUAAAGCUAAAUACCGGCCAGAGACCGAUAGCGCACAAGUAGAGUGAUCGAAAGAUGAAAAGCACUUUGAAAAGAGAGUUAAAUAGCACGUGAAAUUGUUGAAAGGGAAGCGUUUAUGACCAGACUUGGCCCGGUUGAUCAUCCAGCGUUCUCGCUGGUGCACUCUGCCGGUCCAGGCCAGCAUCAGUUCGUCGCGGGGGAUAAAGGUUUCGGGAAUGUGGCUCCUCCGGGAGUGUUAUAGCCCGUUGCGUAAUACCCUGCGGUGGACUGAGGUCCGCGCUUCUGCAAGGAUGCUGGCGUAAUGGUCAUCAACGACCCGUCUUGAAACACGGACCAAGGAGUCGUCUUCGUAUGCGAGUGUUCGGGUGUAAAACCCCUACGCGUAAUGAAAGUGAACGCAGGUGAGAGCUUCGGCGCAUCAUCGACCGAUCCUGAUGUUCUCGGAUGGAUUUGAGUAAGAGCAUACGGGGCCGGACCCGAAAGAAGGUGAACUAUGCCUGUAUAGGGUGAAGCCAGAGGAAACUCUGGUGGAGGCUCGCAGCGGUUCUGACGUGCAAAUCGAUCGUCAAAUAUGGGCAUGGGGGCGAAAGACUAAU
This 827-nucleotide ribosomal RNA is filed under the name Paramyrothecium breviseta. Its description in RNAcentral is "eukaryotic LSU rRNA". It matches the Rfam family "Eukaryotic large subunit ribosomal RNA", at positions 74 to 935 of the family's 3401-position model. RNAcentral also lists the same sequence under 2 other names. The record is from RNAcentral. Lineage: Eukaryota; Fungi; Ascomycota; Sordariomycetes; Hypocreales; Stachybotryaceae.